Molecule: ribosomal RNA, 465 nt
Filed under: uncultured bacterium
Lineage: Bacteria
Description: partial 16S ribosomal RNA
Rfam family: Bacterial small subunit ribosomal RNA
Source: RNAcentral
CUACGGGGUGCUCCAGUCGAGAAUCUUGCCCAAUGGGCGCAAGCCUGAGGCAGCGACGCCGCGUGGAGGAUGAAGGCCUUCGGGUUGUAAACUCCUGUUGGGGGGCAUCAGGGGCCGCAGUGGCAAUACCAUUGUGGCCUGAGGUCAACCCCUGAGGAAGCCACGGCUAAUUCCGUGCCAGCAGCCGCGGUAACACGGAAGUGGCAAGCGUUGUUCGGAUUCACUGGGCUUAAAGGGCACGCAGGCGGCCGGGUAUGUCUGGUGUGAAAGCCCUCGGCUCAACCGAGGAACUGCAUUGGAAACUGCCCGGCUUGAGGACAGGAGAGGCGAGUGGAACUCCAGGUGUAGCGGUGAAAUGCGUAGAUAUCUGGAGGAACGCCGGAGGCGAAAGCGACUCGCUGGACUGUUCCUGACGCUGAGGUGCGAAAGCCAGGGGAGAGAACGGGAUUAGAUACCCUAGUAGUC